CGUGUAGGCGGGUUAUUAAGUCAGAUGUGAAAUUCCCAGGCUUAACUUGGGCGCUGCAUCUGAAACUGGUAAUCUUGAGUGCUGGAGAGGAAAGCGGAAUUCCUAGUGUAGCGGUGAAAUGCGUAGAUAUUAGGAGGAACACCAGUGGCGAAGGCGGCUUUCUGGACAGUAACUGACGCUGAGGCGCGAAAGCGUGGGGAGCAAACAGGAUUAGAUACCCUGGUAGUCCACGCUGUAAACGAUGGAUACUAGGUGUAGGAGGUAUCGACCCCUUCUGUGCCGGAGUUAACACAAUAAGUAUCCCACCUGGGGAGUACGGCCGCAAGGUUGAA
Molecule: ribosomal RNA, 332 nt
Filed under: uncultured bacterium
Lineage: Bacteria
Description: bacterial SSU rRNA
Rfam family: Bacterial small subunit ribosomal RNA
Source: RNAcentral